CCUACGGGGGGCAGCAGUGGGGGAUAUUGCACAAUGGGGGGAACACUGAUGCAGCGACGCCGCGUGAGGGAUGAAGGAUUUCGGUAUGUAAAGCUCUAUCAGCAGGGAAGAAAAUGACGGUACCUGACUAAGAAGCCCCGGAUAACAACGGGCAAGAUGCCGCGGUAAUACGUAGGGGGCAGGGGUUAUCCGGAUUUACUGGGUGUAAAGGGGGCGUAGACGGCAGUGCAAGUCUGAAGUGAAAGGCAAGGGCUCAACCUUUGGACUGCUUUUGAAACUGUGCUGCUGGAGUGUCGGAGAGGCAAGUGGAAUUCCUAGUGUAGCGGUGAAAUGCGUAGAUAUUAGGCGGAACACCAGUGGCGAAGGCGGCUUGCUGGACGAUGACUGACGUUGAGGCUCGAAAGCGUGGGGAGCAAACAGGAUUAGAUACCCGAGUAGUC
This 440-nucleotide ribosomal RNA is filed under the name uncultured bacterium. Its description in RNAcentral is "partial 16S ribosomal RNA". It matches the Rfam family "Bacterial small subunit ribosomal RNA", at positions 338 to 795 of the family's 1533-position model. The record is from RNAcentral.